CAAACACACGCCGCGUGUGUGUGUGUGUGUGUGUAUGUAUAUAUAUAUAUAUAUAUAUAUAUAUAUAUAUAUACAUACACACACACACAUACACUGCUGUGUGUGCUGU
Non-coding RNA from Pelobates cultripes (western spadefoot toad), 109 nucleotides. Lineage: Eukaryota; Metazoa; Chordata; Amphibia; Anura; Pelobatidae. The record is from the annotation of a GenBank genome assembly.